Molecule: ribosomal RNA, 497 nt
Filed under: uncultured bacterium
Lineage: Bacteria
Description: partial 16S ribosomal RNA
Rfam family: Bacterial small subunit ribosomal RNA
Source: RNAcentral
GAUGAACGCUGGCGGCGUGCCUAAUACAUGCAAGUCGAGCGAACAGACGAGGAGCUUGCUCCUCUGACGUUAGCGGCGGACGGGUGAGUAACACGUGGAUAACCCACCUAUAAGACUGGGAUAACUUCGGGAAACCGGAGCUAAUACCGGAUAAUAUAUUGAACCGCAUGGUUCAAUAGUGAAUUACUGUUUUGCUGUCACUUAUAGAUGGAUCCGCUCCGCGGUAGCUAGUUGGUACGGUAACGGCUUACCAAGGCAACGAUGCGUAGCCGACCUGAGAGGGGGAGCGGCCACGCUGGAACGGAGGGCAGGUCUAGACUCCUGCUGGAGGCAGCAGUAGUGCGGCUGGCGCCAGUGGCGAAUGCUUGACGAAGGAACGCAGCGUGAUGGAUGAACGUCUUCUGAUCGUUGAACGCCGUUAUUUUGGAAACACAAAUGUAUAGGGAACUAUGCUCGUCUUGACGGUACCAGAACAGGAAGCCACGGCUAACUACGUG